This 208-nucleotide long non-coding RNA is filed under the name Elaeis guineensis (African oil palm). RNAcentral describes it as "long non-coding RNA (EGUI_LNC037669)". Lineage: Eukaryota; Viridiplantae; Streptophyta; Magnoliopsida; Arecales; Arecaceae. The record is from RNAcentral.
CAGCAACAACAGUCUUUCAACACGUACAUAACAUGCGAAUAUAGACGAAUGUGUAGUAGGGAUCCAAUGGAUAAAAAAAAAAAAAAAACAAAGGAAGAGGCUUUCAUGCGGUUGUGGCUCAUGGUCACAGAAAACCUUGGGCAAUUGACUUUUGGAGUGAUGUCCACACAAAGGAAAAGAAAAAAAAAAAGCAAACCCAGCAACUCAU